GCCCGGGUGGUGGAAUUGGUAGACACAAGGGACUUAAAAUCCCUCGGGGGGUAACCCCUGUACGAGUUCGAGUCUCGUCCCGGGCACCA
Molecule: transfer RNA, 89 nt
Filed under: Geoalkalibacter ferrihydriticus
Lineage: Bacteria; Pseudomonadati; Thermodesulfobacteriota; Desulfuromonadia; Desulfuromonadales; Geoalkalibacteraceae
Also listed under: 1 other name
Description: tRNA_Leu_TAA
Rfam family: tRNA
About the family: Transfer RNA (tRNA) molecules are approximately 80 nucleotides in length. Their secondary structure includes four short double-helical elements and three loops (D, anti-codon, and T loops).
Source: RNAcentral